UACGAAGGGAGCUAGCGUUGUUCGGAAUCACUGGGCGUAAAGCGCACGUUGGCGGACGUGUCAGUCAGGGGUGAAAUCCCGGAGCUCAACUUCGGAACUGCCUUUGAUACAGCACGUCUUGAGUCCGGAAGAGGUGGGUGGAAUUCCUAGUGUAGAGGUGAAAUUCGUAGAUAUUAGGAAGAACACCGGUGGCGAAGGCGGCCCACUGGUCCGGUACUGACGCUGAGGUGCGAAAGCGUGGGGAGCAAACAGG
This 253-nucleotide ribosomal RNA is filed under the name uncultured bacterium. RNAcentral describes it as "partial 16S ribosomal RNA". It matches the Rfam family "Bacterial small subunit ribosomal RNA", at positions 524 to 776 of the family's 1533-position model. The record is from RNAcentral.